This 702-nucleotide ribosomal RNA is filed under the name uncultured Streptococcaceae bacterium. RNAcentral's name for it is "bacterial SSU rRNA". It matches the Rfam family "Bacterial small subunit ribosomal RNA", at positions 49 to 736 of the family's 1533-position model. Lineage: Bacteria; Bacillati; Bacillota; Bacilli; Lactobacillales; Streptococcaceae. The record is from RNAcentral.
UAAUACAUGCAAGUAGAACGCUGAAGGAGGAGCUUGCUUCUCUGGAUGAGUUGCGAACGGGUGAGUAACGCGUAGGUAACCUGCCUGGUAGCGGGGGAUAACUAUUGGAAACGAUAGCUAAUACCGCAUAACAGUAGAUGUUGCAUGACAUUUGCUUAAAAGGUGCAACUGCAUCACUACCAGAUGGACCUGCGUUGUAUUAGCUAGUUGGUGGGGUAACGGCUCACCAAGGCGACGAUACAUAGCCGACCUGAGAGGGUGAUCGGCCACACUGGGACUGAGACACGGCCCAGACUCCUACGGGAGGCAGCAGUAGGGAAUCUUCGGCAAUGGACGGAAGUCUGACCGAGCAACGCCGCGUGAGUGAAGAAGGUUUUCGGAUCGUAAAGCUCUGUUGUAAGAGAAGAACGAGUGUGAGAGUGGAAAGUUCACACUGUGACGGUAUCUUACCAGAAAGGGACGGCUAACUACGUGCCAGCAGCCGCGGUAAUACGUAGGUCCCGAGCGUUGUCCGGAUUUAUUGGGCGUAAAGCGAGCGCAGGCGGUUAGAUAAGUCUGAAGUUAAAGGCUGUGGCUUAACCAUAGUACGCUUUGGAAACUGUUUAACUUGAGUGCAAGAGGGGAGAGUGGAAUUCCAUGUGUAGCGGUGAAAUGCGCAGAGAUAUGGAGGUACACCAGUGGCGAAGGCGACUUUCUGGUCUG